UACGUAGGGUGCGAGCGUUAAUCGGAAUUACUGGGCGUAAAGCGUGCGCAGGCGGUUCGCCAAGUCAGGUGUGAAAUCCCCGGGCUUAACCUGGGAAUUGCGCUUGAAACUAGCGGGCUUGAGUGUGGCAGAGGGGGGUGGAAUUCCACGUGUAGCAGUGAAAUGCGUAGAGAUGUGGAGGAACACCGAUGGCGAAGGCAGCUUACCAAGCAGUAACUGACGCUGAGGCACGAAAGUGCGGGGAUCAAACAGG
RNAcentral lists this ribosomal RNA (253 nucleotides) under uncultured bacterium. RNAcentral describes it as "partial 16S ribosomal RNA". It matches the Rfam family "Bacterial small subunit ribosomal RNA", at positions 524 to 776 of the family's 1533-position model. The record is from RNAcentral.